RNAcentral lists this long non-coding RNA (1749 nucleotides) under Zea mays. Its description in RNAcentral is "long non-coding RNA (ZMAY_LNC004476)". Lineage: Eukaryota; Viridiplantae; Streptophyta; Magnoliopsida; Poales; Poaceae. The record is from RNAcentral.
UGGUGUUGUAUGAGGGCAUGUGAGCCACGUAGUUAACUCAGACUGUGUUGGCACCCUGGGAUCAUUCCUUUGCUGCAUGCUUGACAUGUUCACUAGGUGUUUGCUCCAUUUCAGCUGCCGUAGAGACUUUGUUCAGUGAUAUUCUACUUCCUAUCCUCAAGCUCUAACCAGUGUCCACUGCAAAGGUGAAGCAGCUCUGGCAUUUCUACUGCUGUUACCUUCUCCAUCAUAAGGUUGAACUACUCAAGAGCCUUGCACACCAUCGCCAGUCUGGUGACCAUGCCACCCGGUUCCCUCACCUCGCCGUGGCCAAGACUUCUCAGGCAGUGACCAGCCCGCAUGACCCUCGUUCCACGUUCUCCUAAGGUCAGUGAAGGUUUUCCCGUUGGUAAUUUCAGUUCUACCGUUUUGUGUUGACCAGAACAGGGUCGCGCCGCCACAGACCGUCCCCAUAGACAGUCUCACUGCCGACCGGUUAAACUGUGUCGUUCUUGGCCGGUUUCGUGCGAGCACCGUAGUCGUGAUAGGUCUCUAUUGCUCCCAGCGUCGGAGUUUGAAGCUCUACCAUGCGGUGGCCGUAGAAUUGAGCCCACCGAACUGAGUUUGUCGUCGCCGCCAUCGGUAGUUAUGUCUUAGCGUCCCCGCGGUCGAUUGAACACAGGUUGGACUCCACCGUUGCCUGGGGUCGCGAUGGUGCCGUCGCCGUUGACUAGGUCACACCACCGUGGCGGAUCGGGCGUCAGACCGCCGGCGUUGAGCACGGGCCAUCGGGGCCGAGAAGUUGCGAAUUGGAAGUGACCGAAGGACCUAGGUGAAUCGGUUAGCGACACAAGAAACACUGUAUCGGUCUCGAGUUGGUUUGUCCUGUUCGGCGAGAAUCUUUUUGCAAAAGUGCAAGUGCGGGCGCGCGGGCCGUCGGCCGCAGGCCGACUGUGCCUGUCACGCGGGUCGUGUGGGCCUGUUUGGGCCCGAGACCUAUUCAUCGAUUUGUUUUUUUCUUUUAGCUGAGAGAUUGGAAAUUAUGCCAAAAACUGUAGAAAAAUGUAAAAAAUAUGGGAUAAAUUUUGUAAGUUGUCUAAAAUAGUGAGCUCUCUGGUAAAAAAUAUUUUACGAUUUUUGGAUCAGUUGGAAAAUAUUAAGGGAAUUAAAUGUACUUUUGGAAGGAUCGUUUUAAUUUUAGAAAUACAAUUUGAGCCCAAAAAUUAUGGAAAUUCUUGGAGAGACUAUUUAUCAGAAGUUGAACACUUGGUAAAAUUUUGGGGCUGUUUGGAAGCCUUUUGAUCAGAAAACCUUGUAAGCCCCAAAAUAGAAUAGUUAAUCACUGAUCAAGUGUGGGUUAAUGCUUUGGAAAGGACAUAAGUUUAUCUAAGUAAGAGGUGCAGUUGCUUAAAAAGUUUUAAUCUUUCGAGAUAAGAUCUAAGAUGUAUUAGUUCUCUAGUUUGCCUAAGUGAAUCCGAUUUGGCCACUUUUAGCAAGUAUUGGUGGUGUAGAACCAUGUGUAUACUAGUCAUGUGUUUUUUUGUGGUGUUUAUGUUCCUCAGAUCUCCUUGUGUAAGUUUGCAUUUCAUCUCAUUACAUAAGCAUAAAUGUAUUUGUAAUUGACUUGUAGAGCACCUAGAAGAAGUGGUGUUUAAAGGAGGAGUCUACUCCAGUGGCUGCUAAUCAAGUGGAGGAGCCAUCUAACUGGGUAUUGGAUAGUAGGAUCUGGAACCUCUUCACUGCAAGAAGGCAAGCCCCGGUGCAUGCAAC